UGCCCAGGCGCGAAAACUUUACACUGCGGAAAACCGCGAUAAGGGGACCCCGAGUGCCAGCACCUAGUGCUGGCUGUCCAGCUGUCCAAAUAACAGUUGUUAGCAAGGGCCGGGCAAGACCGGUGCCAGCCGCCGCCGGUAACACCGGCGGCCCGAGUGGUAGCCGUUAUUAUUGGGUUUAAAGGGUCCGUAGCCGGCCUAUUAAGUCUCUUGGGAAAUCUGGCGACUCAAUCGUCAGUCGUCCAAGAGAUACUGGUAGGCUUGGGACCGGGAGAGGUGGGAGGUACUCCAGGGGUAGGGGUGAAAUCUCGUAAUCCUUGGGGGACCACCGAUGGCGAAGGCAUCCCACCAGAACGGGUCCGACGGUGAGGGACGAAAGCUGGGGGCACGAACCGGAUUAGAUACCCGGGUGGUCCCAGCCGUAAACGAUGCUCGCUAGGUGUCAGGUGCGGUGCGACCGCAUCUGGUGCCGCAGUGAAAACUUGAAGCGAGUCACCUGGGAAGUACGGUCGCAAGGCUGAAACUUAAAGGAAUUGGCGGGGGAGCAC
This 548-nucleotide ribosomal RNA is filed under the name uncultured archaeon. RNAcentral's name for it is "bacterial SSU rRNA". It matches the Rfam family "Archaeal small subunit ribosomal RNA", at positions 331 to 879 of the family's 1478-position model. The record is from RNAcentral.